UACUUCAUGUAUGUGUCUAAACAUUCGAUGUAACAGGGUAAAAAGUUUUUGUUUGGGAACUAAACAUCACCUUAGGGCUUAGGGCAUGUUUAGAUCCCCUGGCAAAAUUUUACAACAUGUCAUAUCGAAUGUUUGGACACAUAUGAGAAU
Molecule: unclassified non-coding RNA, 150 nt
Filed under: Oryza sativa (Asian cultivated rice)
Lineage: Eukaryota; Viridiplantae; Streptophyta; Magnoliopsida; Poales; Poaceae
Description: partial microRNA MIR473d precursor
Source: RNAcentral